RNAcentral lists this unclassified non-coding RNA (237 nucleotides) under Hevea brasiliensis (rubber tree). Lineage: Eukaryota; Viridiplantae; Streptophyta; Magnoliopsida; Malpighiales; Euphorbiaceae. The record is from RNAcentral.
GCAGCACAGAGGAAGCCUUCCAGUAAGACUUCAGAAGUUAAACCAGGUGAAAGCAAGGAAAUACCUGCAAAGAAGCUGGUUUCAACACCUGUGAAAUCAUCUAAGCCAGAUAGUGUGAAGAGGGACCCGGCAGAAAAGGUACCUGAUCCUACCAUGCUUAUUAUGAAGUUUCCAUCUAAUGGAGCUCUUCCCUCCAUUUCUGAGCUGAAGGCGAGGUUUGCCCGUUUUGGGGCUCUA